CAAUAGCGUAUAUUAAAGUUGUUGCAGUUAAAAAGCUCGUAGUUGGAUUUCUGGGCCUGGUUCACGGUCCGCCGAAAGGUGUGUUACUGUAGACCUGGUCCUUUCCUCCCGACGUUCUCGUGUGCUCUUAACUGAGUGUGCGUGGUACUUCGGGACCUUUACUUUGAAAAAAUUAGAGUGUUCAAAGCAGGCUUACGCUUGAAUACAUUAGCAUGGAAUAAUGGAAUAGGACUUUGGUUCUAUUUCGUUGGUUCUAGGACCGAAGUAAUGAUUAAUAGGGAUAGUUGGGGGCAUUAGUAUUUAAUUGUCAGAGGUGAAAUUCUUAGAUUUAUGAAAGACUAACUACUGCGAAAGCAUUUGCCAAGGAUGUUUNCAUUAA
Molecule: ribosomal RNA, 379 nt
Filed under: uncultured eukaryote
Lineage: Eukaryota
Description: partial 18S ribosomal RNA
Rfam family: Eukaryotic small subunit ribosomal RNA
Source: RNAcentral